Molecule: ribosomal RNA, 345 nt
Filed under: Staphylococcus pseudintermedius
Lineage: Bacteria; Bacillati; Bacillota; Bacilli; Caryophanales; Staphylococcaceae
Description: partial 23S ribosomal RNA
Rfam family: Bacterial large subunit ribosomal RNA
Source: RNAcentral
UCGCCCAUUAAAGCGGUACGCGAGCUGGGUUCAGAACGUCGUGAGACAGUUCGGUCCCUAUCCGUCGUGGGCGUAGGAAAUUUGAGAGGAGCUGUCCUUAGUACGAGAGGACCGGGAUGGACAUACCUCUGGUGUACCAGUUGUCGUGCCAACGGCAUAGCUGGGUAGCUAUGUAUGGACGGGAUAAGUGCUGAAAGCAUCUAAGCAUGAAGCCCCCCUCGAGAUGAGAUUUCCCAACUUCGGUUAUAAGAUCCCUCAAAGACGAUGAGGUGAAUAGGUUCGAGGUGGAAGCGUAGCGAUACGUGGAGCUGACGAAUACUAAUCGAUCGAAGACUUAAUCAACAU